RNAcentral lists this ribosomal RNA (825 nucleotides) under uncultured bacterium. Its description in RNAcentral is "bacterial SSU rRNA". It matches the Rfam family "Bacterial small subunit ribosomal RNA", at positions 54 to 890 of the family's 1533-position model. The record is from RNAcentral.
CAUGCAAGUCGAACGGAGUCAAGAGAAGCUUGCUUUUCUUGACUUAGUGGCGAACGGGUGAGUAACGCGUGAGUAACCUGCCCUGGAGUGGGGGACAACAGUUGGAAACGACUGCUAAUACCGCAUAAGCCCACGGCCCGGCAUCGGGCUGAGGGAAAGGGAUUUAUUCGCUUCAGGAUGGACUCGCGUCCAAUUAGCUAGUUGGUGAGGUAACGGCCCACCAAGGCGACGAUUGGUAGCCGGACUGAGAGGUUGAACGGCCACAUUGGGACUGAGACACGGCCCAGACUCCUACGGGAGGCAGCAGUGGGGGAUAUUGCACAAUGGGGGAAACCCUGAUGCAGCGACGCCGCGUGGAGGAAGAAGGUUUUCGGAUUGUAAACUCCUGUCGUUAGGGACGAUAAUGACGGUACCUAACAAGAAAGCACCGGCUAACUACGUGCCAGCAGCCGCGGUAAAACGUAGGGUGCAAGCGUUGUCCGGAAUUACUGGGUGUAAAGGGAGCGCAGGCGGACCGGCAAGUUGGAAGUGAAAACUAUGGGCUCAACCCAUAAAUUGCUUUCAAAACUGCUGGCCUUGAGUAGUGCAGAGGUAGGUGGAAUUCCCGGUGUAGCGGUGGAAUGCGUAGAUAUCGGGAGGAACACCAGUGGCGAAGGCGACCUACUGGGCACCAACUGACGCUGAGGCUCGAAAGCAUGGGUAGCAAACAGGAUUAGAUACCCUGGUAGUCCAUGCCGUAAACGAUGAUUACUAGGUGUUGGAGGAUUGACCCCUUCAGUGCCGCAGUUAACACAAUAAGUAAUCCACCUGGGGAGUACGACCGCA